AACGAACGCUGGCGGCAGGCUUAACACAUGCAAGUCGAACGCCCCGCAAGGGGAGUGGCAGACGGGUGAGUAACGCGUGGGAACGUACCUUUCAGUUCGGAAUAACUCAGGGAAACUUGUGCUAAUACCGGAUACGCCCGCAAGGGGAAAGAUUUAUCGCUGAAAGAUCGGCCCGCGUUGGAUUAGCUAGUUGGUGGGGUAAAGGCCUACCAAGGCGACGAUCCAUAGCUGGUCUGAGAGGAUGAUCAGCCACACUGGGACUGAGACACGGCCCAGACUCCUACGGGAGGCAGCAGUGGGGAAUAUUGGACAAUGGGCGCAAGCCUGAUCCAGCCAUGCCGCGUGUGUGAUGAAGGCCUUAGGGUUGUAAAGCACUUUCACCGAUGAAGAUAAUGACGGUAGUCGGAGAAGAAGCCCGGCUAACUUACGUGCCAGCAGCCGCGGUAAA
This 448-nucleotide ribosomal RNA is filed under the name uncultured bacterium. Its description in RNAcentral is "bacterial SSU rRNA". It matches the Rfam family "Bacterial small subunit ribosomal RNA", at positions 29 to 524 of the family's 1533-position model. The record is from RNAcentral.